GUUAGCAGUGUCCCUGUCAGCUUAACCCAAAAUUGCUUCUGGCACUGUUGUUCAUAGCUAUUGUUUUUUUCUAAGUCAUCAAGUCUUGAUAUUUAAUUUUAUAGACCCACUGUGAUGAUGACAUUAUCAACUUGGAUGACGAAGUGGUAAGCUAUCAAUACAAAUGAAGAGAUCAUACAUAGCAUUUCAUAUUAUUGAGCCAUACAUUUAUGAUUUUAUUUCAAAUAUAUCUGAUGUGAAUGACCCAGAAAUGUUUUACAGGCAUCUGGUGAUGUGCAGCCAUCACAUUUGGAGAGUAAGGUUGCUUGUCCAUUGUGCAGUCAACUAUUUACAAAAGACGACAUCUAUGUGCAUGCAAGUGUCUGCGGGGAGAGCAACACAAAUGAGGGAGAUGCAGAUAUUAGUGAGGACACCGAUGAGCACUUCGGCAG
Cyprinus carpio (common carp) is the source of this 431-nucleotide long non-coding RNA. RefSeq lists it as uncharacterized. The record is from RefSeq and is a predicted model, not a curated record. The transcript has 3 exons. Lineage: Eukaryota; Metazoa; Chordata; Actinopteri; Cypriniformes; Cyprinidae.